RNAcentral lists this non-coding RNA (111 nucleotides) under Strombidinopsis acuminata. The record is from RNAcentral. Lineage: Eukaryota; Ciliophora; Spirotrichea; Choreotrichida; Strombidinopsidae.
GGGAAGGACUGAGCUCGAGAAUUCGAUGAUGACAAAAAAGACGGAACAGUAUUGCAUUGAUUCUUAGCUUGUCUUUUCUUCGCGUAAAACUCUUAAAGUUGAAAAAAAAAA